This 660-nucleotide ribosomal RNA is filed under the name uncultured bacterium. RNAcentral's name for it is "bacterial SSU rRNA". It matches the Rfam family "Bacterial small subunit ribosomal RNA", at positions 94 to 788 of the family's 1533-position model. The record is from RNAcentral.
AGUGGCGGACGGGUGAGUAACGCGUGAGAAUCUGCCUUGGGGUCGGGGACAACCACUGGAAACGGUGGCUAAUACCGGAUAAGCCGAUUGGUGAAAGAUUUAUUGCCCGAAGAGGAGCUCGCGUCUGAUUAGCUAGUUGGUGAGGUAAGAGCUCACCAAGGCAGCGAUCAGUAGCUGGUCUGAGAGGACGAUCAGCCACACUGGGACUGAGACACGGCCCAGACUCCUACGGGAGGCAGCAGUGGGGAAUUUUCCGCAAUGGGCGAAAGCCUGACGGAGCAAGACCGCGUGAGGGAGGAAGGCUCUUGGGUUGUAAACCUCUUUUCUCAGGGAAGAAGCUCUGACGGUACCUGAGGAAUCAGCCUCGGCUAACUCCGUGCCAGCAGCCGCGGUAAUACGGAGGAGGCAAGCGUUAUCCGGAAUUAUUGGGCGUAAAGCGUCCGCAGGUGGCGAUUCAAGUCUGCUGUCAAAGCACGGGGCUUAACUCCGUAAAGGCAGUGGAAAUUGAAUAGCUAGAGUGCCGUAGGGGUAGAGGGAAUUCCCGGUGUAGCGGUGAAAUGCGUAGAGAUCGGGAAGAACAUCGGUGGCGAAAGCGCUCUACUGGACGGCAACUGACACUCAGGGACGAAAGCUAGGGGAGCGAAUGGGAUUAGAUACCCC